Molecule: ribosomal RNA, 253 nt
Filed under: uncultured bacterium
Lineage: Bacteria
Description: partial 16S ribosomal RNA
Rfam family: Bacterial small subunit ribosomal RNA
Source: RNAcentral
UACGUAGGGGGCAAGCGUUGUCCGGAAUCAUUGGGCGUAAAGAGCGUGUAGGCGGCCCGAUAAGUCCGCUGUGAAAGUCCAGGGCUCAACCCUGGGAUGCCGGUGGAUACUGUCGGGCUCGAGUCCGGAAGAGGAGUGUGGAAUUCCUGGUGUAGCGGUGAAAUGCGCAGAUAUCAGGAGGAACACCGAUGGCGAAGGCAGGUCUCUGGGCCAUAACUGACGCUGAGAAGCGAAAGCAUGGGGAGCGAACAGG